UACAGAGGUCUCAAGCGUUGUUCGGAUUCAUUGGGCGUAAAGGGUGCGUAGGUGGCGGUGUAAGUCAGGUGUGAAAUUUCGGAGCUUAACUCCGAAACUGCAUUUGAUACUGCCUUGCUUGAGGACUGGAGAGGAGACUGGAAUUUACGGUGUAGCAGUGAAAUGCGUAGAGAUCGUAAGGAAGACCAGUGGCGAAGGCGGGUCUCUGGACUGUUCCUGACACUGAGGCACGAAAGCUAGGGGAGCAAACGGG
Molecule: ribosomal RNA, 253 nt
Filed under: uncultured bacterium
Lineage: Bacteria
Description: partial 16S ribosomal RNA
Rfam family: Bacterial small subunit ribosomal RNA
Source: RNAcentral